Molecule: ribosomal RNA, 492 nt
Filed under: uncultured bacterium
Lineage: Bacteria
Description: partial 16S ribosomal RNA
Rfam family: Bacterial small subunit ribosomal RNA
Source: RNAcentral
AGUGAACGCUGGCGGUAGGCCUAACACAUGCAAGUCGAACGGCAGCACAGUAAGAGCUUGCUCUUACGGGUGGCGAGUGGCGGACGGGUGAGGAAUACAUCGGAAUCUACUUUUUCGUGGGGGAUAACGUAGGGAAACUUACGCUAAUACCGCAUACGACCUACGGGUGAAAGCAGGGGAUCUUCGGACCUUGCGCGAUUGAAUGAGCCGAUGUCGGAUUUGCUAGUUGGCGGGGUAAAGGCCCACCAAGGCGACGAUCCGUAGCUGGUCUGAGAGGAUGAUAGGCCACACUGGAACUGAGACACGGUCCAGGCUCCUACGAGAGGCAGCAGUGGGGAAUAUUGGACAAUGGGCGCAAGCCUGAUCCAGCCAUACCGCGUGGGUGAAGAAGGCCUUCGGGUUGUAAAGCCCUUUUGUUGGGAAAGAAAAGCAGCAGGUUAAUACCCCGCUGUUCUGACGGUACCCAAAGAAUAAGCACCGGCUAACUUCGUG